AGGUGGAGUAGUAACACUAGCUAACUGCUUGAUUAUUGAAAACAGUUAGUUAUACUUUAUCCAUUCCUGUUAUUCGUUUAACCUGUCUCUCUCUUCAAGCCACACUCUGAUCCAAGGAUCAAGUUUCCGGAGUCCUUCUACAAUCCUAUACCUGAAUAACAACACUGUAGCAAAAACUGUUUUUUACGAUCGGCUAACCGUACUUCUGACGUCAUCUGCAGCCGACAAGGGAUCUUUGCAGCUCCUCACUCAGAAACGUUCACAGCGUGCAGCGUCUGUGAACGCUGAAUCCGCUUCUGCUCCACUUCCAGUCAGGAAACCCUCUCGUCAGGUGGAUAUAAGACCCGGAGCAAACGUUAUCCGCAAAGUGACUACCCCCUGUCUGCUUGUUUGACUGCUGUGUCCGGGUGACAACGCACUAUUCUGUCUCAGACCGCCGUAAUCUUGAUCGGGUGCCCCUGUUUUUUGGAUCUCCAGGUGAGGAAUAUCUUAGGGAACUCCUUUACACUAACUUGGACAACCGCAUUACCUAACUAUAAACCUGGAAAAGUCUGCAAGGUCUGAUGGAGCCUAUUACAAAUUGGCCUAAAUAGUGCCCGUUCGCGGACUGCAUGUAAAUGGAAAUCCCCACAGAUCCCUACACUUCCAGAAUGGCUCCAAAACACUACUGAUCUACUCUCCAUGGAGGAAUAUUCAAAUUAUAGAAGAGGGAAAUUAUCUACUUUCCAGGACAUAACAUUUUAUUGGGAUACCCUUGUGCGCUCCCCUCAAAAUAGCUGACCUGAUUAACCCCUUCUUUCCACCCAGCCUCUCUUUUUCCACUUAUCUUUCUAUAUCAUUUUUUUCUUUCUUUCAGGUCUCUAUUGUCUCAGAGAGAGUUGUCUGCACGAUGAUGCACAUAUGCAAUAUUGUUUUUAUAGUUUCAUUAUAUCCUAAAUUGAUACUUAUGGACUAAUCUCUUUUCUACAAAAGCAAUGGUUCUCCACAGCUGCAUCCUAACAAUGUUUUGCUCCAGAAUCGACAAUGUACUGUAUGGCUGUUUAUAUCUGGGACUCAAGGUGUGGAUUAUACUUGAUGUUGUUUUUCAGUACUUGAUUUUUUUAGAUACACUAAAAAACAACAGACUUGUUAUUAAUACAAUGUCUUCCAGUUCAGAGUUCCAAUAUAUCAAUGUAUCAAAGGGUCUUAUAUUGAAACGUAAUAGCAUGUACUGUAAACACAAUCUUAAAGUUAUACCACCUUAGAAUCAGUUGAAAUAAGUUUUAAAGUCUAACACAGUUCCGAUAAGGGAAAGGAUAAAGGUUACCUCCAAAUCACUUGAUCCUCUUAUAUGCAGUCUCUGCACGUUCGUUCAUACCUGGGCUCCUGUGCCACUUAUAGAUUACAAAUGUAAGUUUGUCAGCAUGGAUUUUUCACAACCACGAAGUUCACCCCCACGCGACCGAUGGCGUCUGACGUCACGGGUGACACUUGCAAAUUUUUAUCCCUUCUGAAUUCGGUAGCCUUAUUGGAUUGUUAAGUUUAAGUAGAAAGUGCUGGUAAAACACCUUAUUUAUGGUAAUUAUAGAAGCUUCUCCUGCACUUAGUGCUCCGCACGCAGGAGGUAUAAGUAAAAAUUGCUGUUUUGAUGUUAAAAAGUCAAUUAACCCGGGUUAAAAAGUUCAUCAAAGGAAUAAAAACAAUAUUGUUGUGACACACAAUAAGAUUAGCCACUGCUUUCGAUGCGUUUCGCCCUUUCCAGGGCUUUAUCAAGAUGUAAUUAACCAGAUAGAUGAAUAAAUGUUUUUAACAUAUUUUGAUUAAAUGGAUGCGUUAUUGAUAUCAUUAGCUGUUUAGCGCCCUUAUUAACUUUAAAUCAUCUUAAGUAUUCAAUUAAAGAUAUUUUUUUUUAAAUUAAAGAGAUAUGAAACCAAUAAAAUUAUUUCAUGAUUCAGAUAGAGCAUGCAAUUUUAAACAAUUUUCUACUUUACUUUUAUUAUUCAUUUUGCUUUGUUCUUUUGGUAUCUUUUGUUGAAAAGCAGGGACGUAUUCUUAGGAGCCAGCCCAUUUCUGGAGCACUAUAUAGGACCAGUUUUACAAGAAUGUUAUCCAUUUGCAAGAGCGCUAGAUGGUAGCACUAGUGACUACCUAGGUAUCCCUUCAAAACAGAAUAUUAUGGGCAAAUUUGAUAAUAGAAGUAAAUUGGAAACAUUUUUAAAAUGGUAUGCUGUGUCUGAAUCACAAAAUAAAAUGUUUUUCGUUUCAUAUCCCUUUAAAUCUUGCUAAUAUAAUUCACAUUAUGCUGAUUCCUGCGUGUAGCAUCUUACAAUCACCUAUAUUUUUGUUAGGGUUAUAAGUAUUUUGAGUGUUUUGAGAAAAAGCUUGCCACCUUUUAGUUUGUGAGAAAAAAACUAUGAGAUAUGUAUUGCUAAAAUCUUUACAGAAUUACAUUGGGAUUAGAGAGAUAAUUUCAUAAACGCCCCAUGGAACGCCCAUGUUUAGUCCAAUUUACGAAAAAAGUAUAUAUAACCAUGUUGGUUAUGCAAAACUGGGGAAUGGGUAAUAAAGGUAUUAUCUAUGUUUUUAAACAAUAACAAUUCUGGAGUAGACUGUCCCUUUAACAAUACAAUUUUUCCGCUUAUUUUUUUGAGAAUGGUUCAGUUAUUCAUUUUGUAAGGUGUUUAAAAUAUGAAUUUUAAUUGUGUACUUUUCAUACAAAAAUGCAGUAUAAGCCCCUUAGCAAGAUACCCUGUUUUGGCAUUAGCUCAUUCCACCAGGGAAAUAGAAGUACUUGCAAGCAUUCUUUAAAGGGACAGUGAAGUCCAAAAAAUACUUUCAUGAUUUAAAUAGGGCAUGCAAUUUUAAACAACUUCCCAAUUUACUUUUAUCACCAAUUUUGCUUUGUUCCCUUGGUAUUCUUAGUUGAAAGCUAAACCUAUUAGGUUCAUAUGCUAAUUUCUUAGACCUUGAAGACUGCCUCUAAUCUGAAUACAUUUUGACCACUAGAGGGCAUUAGUUCAGUUCACAUGUUUCAUAUAGAUAACAUUGAGCUCAUGCACGCAAAGUGACCUAGGAGUGAGCACUGAUUGGCUAAACUGCAUGUCUGUCAAAAGAACUGAAAUAAGGGGGCAGUCAGCAGAGGCUUAGAUACAAGAUAAUUACCGAGGAAAAACAUGUAUUAUUAUAACUGUGUUGGAUAUGCAAAACUGGGGAAUGGGUAAUAAAGGGAUUAUCUUUCUUUUAAAACAACAAAAAUUCUGGUGUUGACUGUCCCUUUAAUAAUCUCCCCAGCCCAGAGAGAUUUUGAUAAUCAGACCCCAAAUGUUUAGAGAAAAGAUAAAAUAACAAUGUAUAUAUUCACAGUAUUUUCAUUUUUAUCUAAUUUUAUUAAAGUAACGUUUAUGGAGACAUAUAAAAAAAUGAUGCAUUUGACACAAAUUUUGAAGGUACAGAAAUUGUGUCAUAGCACUAAAAAUGCUGAUAAACCCUGCUCUAAGGUCAAUGGAGGCAACAAGUCUCACAUUCUUUCACUUACCGACAUGUUUAAUGCAUUAAUUAAUGUCUUAUUUAAUGUCUUGUUAGCUCCCAACAACCAGCAUGUAUUUGCUUGUCCCAAAUUAACAGAUGUUCCUAAUGUUACAUUCCACAAGCAUUUAGUUUAUUUUUUUCUGCAGAAUCUGAUGUUAUUUCAUUUUUUUUUCUUCAAUUUCAUAGUUCAAUGUUUAUUUACUGCAAUGUAAAAAAUGUAUUCUAAGGGGUUGUAUUGAAGUGGUAUAAUCAUGUAUAUCUGAGCAAACAAAUCAACCAACCAUAUGUUUAAAAACUCUAAAUGUGAAAGUUUACCGAGCACUUAAACGCUCAGCUGUCAGAGCGGGCUGCAAAACACUUCAGCUUUGUAAUCUACUUCCCCAUUGUCAUACAUUUUGAAUGCAAUAAAUCUGGCAAAAAAAACUCCAGAGCAGGCAAAA
Molecule: long non-coding RNA, 3947 nt
Organism: Bombina bombina (fire-bellied toad)
Lineage: Eukaryota; Metazoa; Chordata; Amphibia; Anura; Bombinatoridae
Exons: 3
Source: RefSeq, a predicted model, not a curated record